GUCAUCACUACACAUAAAUUGGUACUUGAGAAUAUCCCAAAACUUACUAGCGCAGAGAAUACCUGUGCAAUUUCAAGACCAGAUUAUGUAAAGCAAUUUGCUUCUUCAGUAUUAUCCUGCAUUUCCCGACUUGAAAUUCUCAACUUGAAUCUCCGUCGUAGCAAGGUGUUCUUAGAGAAUGCCUUUCCUCAAAUGCCUAAGUUGAAGAAGUUGGCCAUUAGAUGGUAAACGAGCGUAUGAAAACAGUCUCUUGCCAGUAACAGCUUUGAUAUGGGCAUCUCCUCGUCUUCAAGAACUCAAAUUGCAGGUUGAGCGCCCGCAAAUAUUUCAUUCUACAUCGGAAAAUAGUGAAAAACAUCGGCACAAACAUCUCAAAGCGUUUGAUUUCAUUGGUUUUUCUGACGGUGCUGCCGAUCAUAAAAAAUUGCUGAUAUAUAUUUUGGAUAAUUGCAUUGCGCUUGAGAAAAUAAUUAUCGGUUGUCCAUCACUAGCUGGGGCUGAGCCACGAGCUGCCCCUCGAACAAUUGCUUGAUGGCAAAGUACCUGACCACAUUCAACUCUAUAUUGUUUAAUUAUCCUUCUCAUUUUUUUCAGUUAUUUAUCAUUUUGAACUAAGAUUGAUUCUUUUUAGUGUUAAUAGUUGUAAAUAACCAUUUUUCUUAAUAAAAGGUUGAUAAUAACCAUAAAAAUAAAAAUAUAUUAA
Long non-coding RNA from Salvia miltiorrhiza (redroot sage), 703 nucleotides. RefSeq lists it as uncharacterized. The record is from RefSeq and is a predicted model, not a curated record. The transcript has 3 exons. Lineage: Eukaryota; Viridiplantae; Streptophyta; Magnoliopsida; Lamiales; Lamiaceae.